Molecule: ribosomal RNA, 488 nt
Filed under: uncultured bacterium
Lineage: Bacteria
Description: bacterial SSU rRNA
Rfam family: Bacterial small subunit ribosomal RNA
Source: RNAcentral
AACGAACGCUGGCGGCGCGCCUAAUACAUGCAAGUCGAGCGAGAAGACGUAGCAAUACGUUUGUAAAGCGGCGAACGGGUGAGGAAUACAUGGGUAACCUACCCUCGAGUGGGGAAUAACUAGCCGAAAGGUUAGCUAAUACCGCGUACGCUCCUUGGACUUCGGUUCAGGGAGGAAAGCGAUACCGUGGGUAUCGCGCUCUUGGAUGGGCUCAUGUCCUAUCAGCUUGUUGGUGAGGAACGGCUCACCAAGGCUUCGACGGGUAGCUGGUCUGAGAGGACGAUCAGCCACACUGGCACUGCGACACGGGCCAGACUCCUACGGGAGGCAGCAGUAAGGAAUAUUGCGCAAUGGGCGAAAGCCUGACGCAGCAACGCCGCGUGAAGGAUGAAAUCCUUCGGGAUGUAAACUUCGCAAGUAUGGGAAGAAACAAAUGACGGUACCAUACGUAAGCCCCGGCUAACUCCGUGCCAGCCGCCGCUGUAAAG